CGGACGGGUGAGUAACGCGUGAGAAUCUGCCUUAUGGACGGGGACAACAACUGGAAACGGUUGCUAAAACCCGAUGUGCCUCUUAGGAGGUGAAAUAUUAAUAGCCAGAAGAGGAGCUCGCGUCUGAUUAGCUAGUUGGAGUGGUAAGAGCACACCAAGGCGACGAUCAGUAGCUGGUCUGAGAGGAUGAACAGCCACACUGGGACUGAGACACGGCCCAGACUCCUACGGGAGGCAGCAGUGGGGAAUUUUCCGCAAUGGGCGAAAGCCUGACGGAGCAAGACCGCGUGGGGGAGGAAGGUCUAUUGAUUGUAAACCCCUUUUCUGAGGAAAGAAAAAAAUGACGGUACCUCAGGAAUAAGCAUCGGCUAACUCUGUGCCAGCAGCCGCGGUAAUACAGAGGAUGCAAGCGUUAUCCGGAAUUAUUGGGCGUAAAGAGUCCGUAGGGGGCUAAUCAAGUCUGUCGUUAAAGACUGCAGCUUAACUGCGGGCAGGCGAUGGAAACUGAGGAGCUAGAGAGCAGUAGGGGCAGAGGGAAUUCCCAGUGUAGCGGUGAAAUGCGUAGAGAUUGGGAAGAACAUCGGUGGCGAAAGCGCUCUGCUGGGCUGAAUCUGACCCUGAGGGACGAAAGCUAGGGGAGCAAAAGGGAUUAGAUACCCCUGUAGUC
This 667-nucleotide ribosomal RNA is filed under the name Synechocystis fuscopigmentosa CCALA 191. Its description in RNAcentral is "bacterial SSU rRNA". It matches the Rfam family "Bacterial small subunit ribosomal RNA", at positions 99 to 795 of the family's 1533-position model. Lineage: Bacteria; Bacillati; Cyanobacteriota; Cyanophyceae; Synechococcales; Merismopediaceae. The record is from RNAcentral.